RNAcentral lists this ribosomal RNA (481 nucleotides) under uncultured bacterium. RNAcentral's name for it is "bacterial SSU rRNA". It matches the Rfam family "Bacterial small subunit ribosomal RNA", at positions 28 to 532 of the family's 1533-position model. The record is from RNAcentral.
GAUGAAUGCUGGCGGCGUGCCUAAUACAUGCAAGUCGAGCGGCAGCGCGUCUAGUUUACUAGAUGGCGGCGAGCGGCGGACGGCUGAGUAACGCGUAGGAAUGUGCCCCAAAGUGAGGAAUAACUGCCCGAAAGGGUAGCUAAUGCCGCAUAUGGUCUUCGGAUUAAAGGAUUUAUCCGCUUUGGGAGCAGCCUGCGUACGAUUAGAUAGUUGGUGAGGUAAUGGCUCACCAAGUCGACGAUCGUUAGCUGGUCUGAGAGGAUGAUCAGCCAGACUGGAACUGAGACACGGUCCAGACUCCUACGGGAGGCAGCAGUAAGGAAUCUUCCACAAUGGGCGAAAGCCUGAUGGAGCAACGCCGCGUGCAGGAUGAAGGCCUUCGGUUGGUAAACUGCUUUUAUUGUAGUGAAGAAUAAUGACGGUAACUCAUGAAUAAGACACCGGCUAACUACGUAGCCACGCAGCCGCGGUAAACGUACGU